Molecule: long non-coding RNA, 763 nt
Organism: Perca flavescens (yellow perch)
Lineage: Eukaryota; Metazoa; Chordata; Actinopteri; Perciformes; Percidae
Exons: 3
Source: RefSeq, a predicted model, not a curated record
CGAGUCCAACUCGGACCUCCCAGAGGUAACUACAUGAGCCACUCUCUUUGGCUCACAGGAGUAGCUUCCUCCUCCUUUAACGUGCUUCCUCAGCAUCUAAUAUCCAUCACCAAACCCAAACCCACCAUGAGGACAUCAAAAAGUAACAAGUCAACAGUACAUACCGGAUGAUCCGCAUCCAACUCAGAGCCAUACAUCAGGACACGGUUAGCACACUUGUCCAAGUCUGAAAUCUUCUUUGGGAACCAAGUGUCUUCAGGAUUUCAUUUACCUUCUUCAUCGAGACAAGAGUUAUCUGGAGGAUCCAUAUCUACCACGCUCACAUGCUUUCUAAGCAGCUGGAUUAUUUCAUUCAGUUGUUCGUGGUUGCUGUCGCAGUCCACAAAAAUUUCAAACUCAGAGUUGCGUCUUUUGGAUUUUCUGGACUCUAUGUGUACAAGGUUGACAUGGUUUUCCUGCAAGAAACAUGGAGAUUCAUUUUUAAGUUAGCUACAUUAGCCUUAUCAUCAGCAUGAUAAAUGAAUAAGUUGCUGGUAGACAUAUAUAUGUCAUAUGUAUGACAUUUAUAUGAUAUGAAAAUGUUAUUCUAUAAUCAAGACUAUUCCAGGUAAAUACAUUAACAUGAACAGGAAUAACGUUGUCCAUACCUGGAAGAGUUUGAGAGCCUUUACUAGUCCUCCUACUUCAUUCUUGAGGGAAAAUAUUAUUGUUGCUCUCCCUUUCUCUGAUGUAUUGUUCUUUUCAGUGUUUUCCUCAAUUUUUG